UUGCACUGUCCGUAACCUGUUACUUGUCUCUUGUCUUGCAUCAGGUUCCAUUCCAGUGCUACAUUAAUCCCGGCACUAUGUAGGUUGGAUCUUCAUGCUAUCUCUGACCUCUUCAGAGUUGGGAACAUGU
Small nucleolar RNA from Leucoraja erinaceus (little skate), 130 nucleotides. The record is from RefSeq and is a predicted model, not a curated record. NCBI's taxonomy places the organism in Eukaryota, Metazoa, Chordata, Chondrichthyes, Rajiformes, Rajidae.